UGGGAAGCCACAGUGAUUCUAUGAAAGC
Molecule: non-coding RNA, 28 nt
Filed under: Mus musculus (house mouse)
Lineage: Eukaryota; Metazoa; Chordata; Mammalia; Rodentia; Muridae
Source: RNAcentral